AGCGAACGCUGGCGGCAGGCUUAACACAUGCAAGUCGAGCGGGCACCUUCGGGUGUCAGCGGCAGACGGGUGAGUAACACGUGGGAACGUACCCUUUGGUUCGGAACAACUCUGGGAAACUGGAGCUAAUACCGGAUACGCCCUUAUGGGGAAAGGUUUACCGCCGAAGGAUCGGCCCGCGUCUGAUUAGCUAGUUGGUGAGGUAACGGCUCACCAAGGCGACGAUCAGUAGCUGGUCUGAGAGGAUGAUCAGCCACACUGGGACUGAGACACGGCCCAGACUCCUACGGGAGGCAGCAGUGGGGAAUAUUGGACAAUGGGCGCAAGCCUGAUCCAGCCAUGCCGCGUGAGUGAUGAA
RNAcentral lists this ribosomal RNA (358 nucleotides) under uncultured bacterium. RNAcentral's name for it is "bacterial SSU rRNA". It matches the Rfam family "Bacterial small subunit ribosomal RNA", at positions 29 to 412 of the family's 1533-position model. The record is from RNAcentral.